UCUAGGCCCCGUCAGGAGCCCGAGUUGUAAUUUGGAGAGGACACUUCGGGGCUCAAAUUUGAAAUCUGGCACCGUUAGGUGUCCGAGUUGUAAUUUGGAGAGGAUACUUCGGGUGUGGCUACGGCGUAAGUCCCUUGGAACAGGGCGUCAUAGAGGGUGAGAAUCCCGUCUUAAGUCGUUUGUCCACGCCCAUGCGAAGUUCCUUCGACGAGUCGAGUUGUUUGGGAAUGCAGCUCUAAGUGGGUGGUAAAUUUCAUCUAAAGCUAAAUAUUGGCCGGAGACCGAUAGCGAACAAGUAGAGUGAUCGAAAGGUUAAAAGCACCUUGAAAAGGGAGUUAAAUAGCACGUGAAAUUGUUGAAAGGGAAGCGCUUGCAACCAGACUCGGUCACAGGGGCUCAGCGAGCAUGCGUGCUCGUGUACUCCCCUGUGUUCGGGCCAGCAUCAGUUCUGGCGGUUGGUUAAAGGCCCUUGGAAUGUAUCGUCCUCCGGGACGUCUUAUAGCCAAGGGUGUAAUGCGGCCAGCCGGGACUGAGGAACGCGCUUCGGCACGGAUGCUGGCGUAAUGGUUGUAAGCGACCCGUCUUUGAAACACGGACCAA
Molecule: ribosomal RNA, 600 nt
Filed under: Aphanoascus verrucosus
Lineage: Eukaryota; Fungi; Ascomycota; Eurotiomycetes; Onygenales; Onygenaceae
Description: partial 28S ribosomal RNA
Rfam family: Eukaryotic large subunit ribosomal RNA
Source: RNAcentral